GCUGGCCGAGAUCAACCGGGAGUUUCUCUGUGACCAGAAGUACAGUGAUGAAGAGAACCUUCCAGAAAAGCUCACAGCCUUCAAAGGUAAGCUGGGGCAGGCUGCCCUGCAUUUAUUCCUGGGGGAGGUGGGCUGGCCCCUCAUCCUUGCACACAGGACCCCUUAGCCCCACAGGACUAGGCUGUGGCCCUGUUUCGUCCACAAUGCCCUUCUUCCUGGCAGGCUUGGAGACAGGUACCCCCGAGAGGUGGUUGGAGGCCCCUCCACCUGCCUCCCUGCCCCUGUGGGCCCCGUCACCCCUCGCCUGCAGCCCGGUCCUGGCCCUGCCCCUCUCUCUCCCCUUGCUGCCCACGGGGCUCAGGCUGGUUCCCGUCCGCCGCUGCCCAGGCCCCGUCACUCCCGGGCCCCGCACACAAUCAGCUCUUUGUGAGCAAGCCUUGCCUCUCCCCCUCCCCAGCAGAGUGUCUCAGGAGCCCCUGCGGAGAAUGGACGUUUGUGUCGCCACAGUGGGGCAGGGGGGCAGAGUUUCUGCCCAUUGAAACCCGGCAGCACGGGAUGAAAAGAAAGCAGGGCCUGGGAGCUGGCGCGGGGAGAGGGGCAGCAUAAAGAUCCCUCUGUUUGGGGCCCUGGCGCUUGGUUCCCAGCCAGCACCUCGAAAGGAGAGGAGCCGGGCACAUAGGGGGCGGCGCAGACCCACCUUCCCUGCCAGGGGAGGCACUUAGGCACAGGAGCCCUGGGCUGUCAUGGAAAAUAUCCUGGAGGUUGCAUUCCCCUCCAAAGUGUUUGCAGUGUGAGCAUCCUCCCGGCUCUGGGGCAAAGAACUUGGCCAAGUGUUCCUCAAAUCGCUUCCACUUGUCCUUAGGCUGGACAUCUAGGG
This 877-nucleotide small RNA is filed under the name Pongo abelii (Sumatran orangutan). RNAcentral's name for it is "retained intron". Lineage: Eukaryota; Metazoa; Chordata; Mammalia; Primates; Hominidae. The record is from RNAcentral.